RNAcentral lists this ribosomal RNA (587 nucleotides) under Homophron spadiceum. RNAcentral's name for it is "partial large subunit ribosomal RNA". It matches the Rfam family "Eukaryotic large subunit ribosomal RNA", at positions 80 to 652 of the family's 3401-position model. The record is from RNAcentral. Lineage: Eukaryota; Fungi; Basidiomycota; Agaricomycetes; Agaricales; Psathyrellaceae.
CUAGUACUGCUAGUGAAGCGGGAAAGCUCAAUUUAAAAUCUGAUGGUCUUUGGCCGUCCGAGUUGUAAUCUAGAGAAGUGUUACCCGUGCCGGACCGUGUAUAAGUCUCCUGGAAUGGAGCGUCAUAGAGGGUGAGAAUCCCGUCUUUGACACGGACUACCGGUGCUUUUGUGGUGCGCUCUCAAAGAGUCGAGUUGUUUGGGAAUGCAGCUCAAAAUGGGUGGUAAAUUCCAUCUAAAGCUAAAUAUUGGCGAGAGACCGAUAGCGAACAAGUACCGUGAGGGAAAGAUGAAAAGAACUUUGGAAAGAGAGUUAAACAGUACGUGAAAUUGCUGAAAGGGAAACGCUUGAAGUCAGUCGCGUUGGCCGGAAAUCAACCCUGCUUUUGCUGGGCGUACUUUCUGGCUGACGGGCCAACAUCAGUUUUGAUCGGUGGAAAAAGUCUAGGGGAAUGUGGCAUCUUCGGAUGUGUUAUAGCCCUUGGUCGUAUACAUCGGUUGGGACUGAGGAACUCAGCACGCCGCAAGGCCGGGUCUUUGACCACGUUCGUGCUUAGGAUGUUGGCAUAAUGGCUUUAAUCGACCCGU